This 1338-nucleotide ribosomal RNA is filed under the name uncultured bacterium. RNAcentral describes it as "bacterial SSU rRNA". It matches the Rfam family "Bacterial small subunit ribosomal RNA", at positions 28 to 1387 of the family's 1533-position model. The record is from RNAcentral.
GACGAACUCUGGCGGCGCGCCUAACACAUGCAAGUCGAACGAGCGAGAGAGAGCUUGCUUUCUCGAGCGAGUGGCGAACGGGUGAGUAACGCGUGAGGAACCUGCCUCAAAGAGGGGGACAACAGUUGGAAACGACUGCUAAUACCGCAUAAGCCCACGGCUCGGCAUCGAGCAGAGGGAAAAGGAGCAAUCCGCUUUGAGAUGGCCUCGCGUCCGAUUAGCUAGUUGGUGAGGUAAUGGCCCACCAAGGCGACGAUCGGUAGCCGGACUGAGAGGUUGAACGGCCACAUUGGGACUGAGACACGGCCCAGACUCCUACGGGAGGCAGCAGUGGGGAAUAUUGCACAAUGGGGGAAACCCUGAUGCAGCGACGCCGCGUGGAGGAAGAAGGUCUUCGGAUUGUAAACUCCUGUUGUUGGGGAAGAUAAUGACGGUACCCAACAAGGAAGUGACGGCUAACUACGUGCCAGCAGCCGCGGUAAAACGUAGGUCACAAGCGUUGUCCGGAAUUACUGGGUGUAAGGGGAGCGCAGGCGGGAAGACAAGUUGGAAGUGAAAUCUAUGGGCCCAACCCAUAAACUGCUUUCAAAACUGUUUUUCUUGAGUAGUGCAGAGGUAGGCGGAAUUCCCGGUGUAGCGGUGGAAUGCGUAGAUAUCGGGAGGAACACCAGUGGCGAAGGCGGCCUACUGGGCACCAACUGACGCUGAGGCUCGAAAGUGUGGGUAGCAAACAGGAUUAGAUACCCUGGUAGUCCACACCGUAAACGAUGAUUACUAGGUGUUGGAGGAUUGACCCCUUCAGUGCCGCAGUUAACACAAUAAGUAAUCCACCUGGGGAGUACGACCGCAAGGUUGAAACUCAAAGGAAUUGACGGGGGCCCGCACAAGCAGUGGAGUAUGUGGUUUAAUUCGACGCAACGCGAAGAACCUUACCAAGUCUUGACAUCCCUUGACAGACAUAGAAAUAUGUUUUCUCUUCGGAGCAAGGAGACAGGUGGUGCAUGGUUGUCGUCAGCUCGUGUCGUGAGAUGUUGGGUUAAGUCCCGCAACGAGCGCAACCCUUAUGGUCAGUUACUACGCAAGAGGACUCUGGCCAGACUGCCGUUGACAAAACGGAGGAAGGUGGGGAUGACGUCAAAUCAUCAUGCCCUUUAUGACUUGGGCUACACACGUACUACAAUGGCGUUAAACAAAGAGAAGCAAGACCGCGAGGUGGAGCAAAACUCAGAAACAACGUCCCAGUUCGGACUGCAGGCUGCAACUCGCCUGCACGAAGUCGGAAUUGCUAGUAAUCGUGGAUCAGCAUGCCACGGUGAAUACGUUCCCGGGCCUUGCACU